Molecule: ribosomal RNA, 253 nt
Filed under: uncultured bacterium
Lineage: Bacteria
Description: partial 16S ribosomal RNA
Rfam family: Bacterial small subunit ribosomal RNA
Source: RNAcentral
UACGAAGGGGGCUAGCGUUGUUCGGAAUUACUGGGCGUAAAGCGUGCGCAGGCGGCUUCUCAAGUCAGGGGUGAAAGCCCAGGGCUCAACUCUGGAAUUGCCUUUGAGACUGAGUGGCUUGAGUACGAGAGAGGUGAGUGGAAUUCCCAGUGUAGAGGUGAAAUUCGUAGAUAUUGGGAAGAACACCGGUGGCGAAGGCGGCUCACUGGCUCGUAACUGACGCUCAUGCACGACAGCGUGGGGAUCAAACAGG